Molecule: long non-coding RNA, 17196 nt
Filed under: Equus asinus (donkey)
Lineage: Eukaryota; Metazoa; Chordata; Mammalia; Perissodactyla; Equidae
Description: lncRNA (ENSEASG00005025233.1)
Source: RNAcentral
GCGAAAACGAAAGUGCUGGAAGGGUCACGGGCUUCCCAGAGUCCUGGCCCAUUAACAGCUGAAGGCCCAGGCCAGGGUCCCCUGCAUCUGAUAAGCCCAAGCUGGCCUCGGCCUGCCUGGACUGCCGGAGAGCCCGGGGUCUUCUGGGAGAGCCCCAACCCGGGCAGGGGAGUGCAGGCAAGCAAACCGAGCUGGUGACUGCCGGAGUUCACAUACAUUUAUUCAAUUGACACCAACGAGGAGUGGGGGGAGACAUUUUUCUUUUCUUCCACACAAACCAUCAGACGAUUUCGGAGUCUCCCCACAGUAGAGAAGUCUAAAUCAAUGCACACCCAGUGGACAGAGAACGCAGAUAGCAGCCCGCUGUACAGAUAUUUACAAAUAAUUACAGGACCCCCUGCCACAGGAUGUGCCCUCACCCACCCCACCCCCACCUCUCCAGCCCCUGACCCAGACCUCCUCUCCCACCCAAACCUCAUUGCUUUUAGCUACAAUAAAUAUCCCAGGGCCUGGGACAGAGCAGAGCACUAAGAGGACUGCUGGCCCUGGGUGGCUGGACCCAGCCGGCCACGGGAAAGGGGAAAAGUUCCUUCAAAAGCACCCCAACACAAAAGAGGGAGGAUGUUUCUCGGCGGGGUGGGACUCCGCAUGGAUUGUGGAGACCCCUCGCUUCACCUCUUCGUUCAGCUUCGCCUGUGUAGACACUCCUUUAUAGGCUUCAGAGAGAAGGAACCUCCUUGGAGAACAGCAAGGAAAAAAAGUUGAAUUCUUCUUUUGAGCACAAAGCGGAUAAUAGAUGUCUUUAAAUUAUAAUAUUGGACAAGCAGGGCCUCAAAGCCGAGGAAGGAGUGAGCGGGAUGCAGAAAGAGAGACCCCUCUGCGCAGUUGGUGCUUCUGGCGGGACCCGCGGGGCCUGGGCAGGCUUCUCUCCAGGACAGCAAUUCUUCCGGGGCUGCCGGGAGAAAGCGAAGACUCCCCCCGCCCCCGUUAUACUGCUCAAAUUGGAACCGGAUCGUGGCUUGCGAACUCGUCGCGUAGACCCGGGCCUCUCCCUGAGCGAUGGAGCCCGCUUCGUCCCAACUGUCGGCGAGAUUCUGAGCGUGGAGCCUGAAGUGCCAAGUCACGCGCGCCGGCCCAAGGUCUGGCGACUCUUCAUAAAUAGACUCCCUGAGUUCCUCUGGGACCGCAGGAGCUCCCGGGAGAGGCUUAGGAGUGCGGGCCUAACUGGCCCUGAGCCGACGCGGUCAGAAGUGGCAGCCACUGAGACCGGCGACUUUGCCGGCAAACGGAGGCCCUGAGGACAGGAGCGCGUCCCCGGGGUGCGAGAGGCGGAUGUGGCCGGCCACUGGAGCCAGGGCUGGGGCAGUCAGCAUGGCCAAGACCUGGGCUUGACCGCCAGGACCCGCCGCCGCCGCGAACGGCGAUCCCGGGGAGCCCUCGCCUCCGCCCGGGGGUGCUGCCCCGCCGCCGCCGUGGCCCAUGAUGUGGUCUAUGGAGAAGGAAGGCCUCUGGCCGGCCCCGGCGCCCCCGCCGCCCGCACCACCGCCCGCGUCCGUCUUGAGGCCCUGGCGCAGGAGUGCGGUGGACAGACCAGCCGCGGUGCCGGCUGCGGGAGGGCUCAGCGACGCGGGGUAGAAGGCUUUGGCGCAGCCCAGCUCCGCGCCCAGGAAGGCGGGCAGGCCUGCGGGGCCCGGGCCCGACCCUGUGCCCGGGGCAGGCGCAGGGGCCGGAGCCGAGGCUGCGCCUGCGAACACCGAGGCCGUCGGAGGUCCGGGUGGAGGCGCGGCGGCACGGCCUGGGGGUACCGACAGCUGGCAAGGAGCGGCGGCGGCGGCGAAAGCGAAGGCGUGCGGGUGUGGAUGCGGAUGCGGGGCCGGGCCCGGCGGCGGUGCGCCGUAGGCCGGGAGAGCCAACCCGUAGCCAUAGCCGUAGGCUCCGUAAGCGGCGAAACCCGGCAGAAAGGCGCCGGGGUCCCCCGCCGCCGCAGCCCCGCCACGCAGCAGCAGCUCCGGGUGAGGGUGCGUGUGUGGAUGCGGCGGCGGCAGCGGCUGCCGCUUGAAGCGCUUACGGCGCCGCAGGAAGCUGCCGUUGUCGAACAUGUCGGCCGACUCCGGGUCCAGCGUCCAGUAGUUGCCCUUGCCCGGGUUGCCCGGCUCGCGGGGAAUCUUGACGAAGCAGUCGUUGAGCGAGAGGUUGUGGCGGAUGCUGUUCUGCCAGGCGGGGAACUUCUCCCGGUAGUAGGGGAAGCGGCCGCUGAUGAACUCGCAGAUUUCACUCAGCGUCAGGCGCUUCUUGGGGCUCUGCAGGAUGGCCAUGGUGAUGAGCGCGAUGUACGAGUAGGGAGGCUUCACCAGCGGGCUCCGCGUCGCCGCGCCCCCCGACGGCGGUCCCGGCCCGGGGGCCCCGCCGCGCCCCGGGCCGCCGCCGCGCCUGGCCGGGGCUUCCCGCUGCGGCCGCCGCCCCCCGGGGCGCUAGAGCGCGGGGCUCGCCGUCCGAGCAGCCGCCCGACUCCUCGUCCUCAGCUGCGUCCGCCUCGGCUUCCUCCGAGGGAGGCUCGGGGCCGUGCGGGAGCACGUCCCGGGGGGCGCGGGGCCCGGAGCGGGCAGGGAGCUCCCCCCCACCGCUGCCGCCGCCGCCGCCGCCGCCCACUACGUCUAUGUCUGCGUCGGCCUCGGACAGCGCGGCCGGGGAGCUCUCGGAGGACAUGAUCUCGCAGCAGCAGCUGCCCAGGGUCAUGGUGCCGCCGCCGCCGCCGCUCUCCGGCUCCGCUCCGGCCGCGGCUCGGGCUCCGCCGCGCUGCCUCUGGGGCGAGUGUGUUUUGCGCGCGGGCGGGGAGGGGGCGGGGGACUGAGGCGGACAGGGAGGGGUGUCCCCCAGCUUCGCAGCGCCCCCUCGUGGCCCGACUCGGCCGCUCUCACCUCUCGGGGAGUACCCGACCCGCGGCUCUCUCCGCUGCCCCGGGAGCCCGAGCGGGGGCCUGCACGCCGGGGCGCGGGCGGAAGGAGCUGAGGCCUCCCCUCACCCUGGCCGGUCUCGGCCCCAGUCCCCCCGGGGCGGGGGGGGGUCCGGGUAUUAGUCCCUCCCGCCCAGCGGCUGCCCAAGGCGGAAGAGCGCGAGCCCGGGGCGGAGCUCCCUCAGCGGGGUGGGGCGGGGCGGGAGGGGGCGGGCGGAGUGUCUCCGCGGAGGGGCCCGGCGGGAACAAACAGCCGCCGCGGCGGGAGCUCGGCUCCGGUGCCGGAGGCGAGUCCUCCUCUUCCCCGCAGAUCCCGCAAACCUUUCGCUCCCUGGAGCCGCUGCCUUCAGUGCGUUCGGCCCCUGGAUGUUAAGGUUCACGCGGGUGCCAGCGGGAGCCGGGAGAAGGAGCGACAGCGCCCACCCAUCGUCGCCCCAAGGCAGAGACAGCGCCCGGGCCACCAAGGCCGAAGCGCAGUCGGAGCUGGAGCGGGAGCCUGAGACGCCCAGACCAGCGCCGCCCGAGGAGAGCGGGGCCCGCCGCCGCCCGAGCGGCUUCCGGCCCAAGGGGAGACGCACUUGAGUGAUCGCGAGGAGCGAACUUGGCACUCUCAGCCUCGGGCCUCGGAGAGGCUCUACAGACGGACAGCAAGGACCCCCACGGAGACCUCCAGUGAACCCUGACCUUAGCCCCGGGCCAGUGUUGCCUCCAUCUCUCAGCAUCCUGUGCUCACAAGGUUGGUCCUGUGCCCUUUUUCUCGCCAGCCGCGUUCCUGCCCGUUCCAUUAGGCCUCUUUCUCCCCUGGCCUCCCUCCAGGGACCCAGCAACGAGUACCACCAGCUCAGACUGGGCCCAUCUCAACCUCUGGGGGUGAAAAGGGAGAUGGGCACUGGACGUGGGCAAGAGCUGAGAGGAUGGGCGGGCUGCUGCCCCGACAGCGCCGCGCAGUGGUCAAAGCUCAGCCGUGCGAGGUCUGAGAGCCAGCUGCAGUCUGCUGUCACAAGGCUGUUAUGAAGGUGUGCAUGUUGUUUCCCGUCCCCAGCCUCAGUUUCCCGCUGUGCAUAGUAGUUAAGAGCAAGGAUCCUGGAAUCAGGCUACUGCAUCCUGGCUUCACUACUCACCAGCUCUGUCACCUUGGAUAAACUCUUCAUGCCUGUUGCUUUCUCUCUAAAGUUGAGAUUAAAAACACCUACCUCUUGAUUAAUAUGUAAAAGUAGCCCUCACAUUCGCCUACUUAUGAGAGGGUAUGGAGAGCACAUUGCAGACUCUUGGGCAGAGAGAAAGUGGUUGGGGGUGGUGUAGUCUCCCACCUGGAUCUCCAGGCCUGGUCUAGCUCCCCACUGGGUUACCGCUGCCACCUGAUCGUCCUCAGUCACUGUGCUGAAUUAGAUCCCCUGUAGAUAAGCGCUGGGAGCAGGGGGGAGGGAAUUUGCAGCCCCUGCAGGCGCUCUCCCAGCAGGGCUGGUGUGCGUGUGGAUGAAUCCUCCCUUUUAUCCAACAGCAACCUCCAGUCUAUGGAAUAAUCUGGUGUAAAUCGAACUCCCUCAUUCCACAGGUGGGUCAAGAGAGGCCCAGAGAGGGGAAGGGGCUCACCUAGGCUCCUGCGACAAGAUAGAGCAGGGCCGGGGACAACCCUUGUCACAGAAUCCUCAUGACAGAGUUCUCUAUCCUCCCAAGCCAGAAGAGGAUGGAAGGCAGGUCUGGCUGCUCAUGUCCUGUGAGAGCAAGUCCUCUGGGCUGCUCUCUGGGGCCUCAGACCGAGGGGAUCUAUCUAAUGUGCUGGGUCUGGAUAAACACACUGUUCUUGGGAAAAAGAGAAGAGGUCCAGUGCUCAAACCAUGGACAGGCAAUUGGGCAGGGACUAGUGGCCUGGAAUCAGAAUUUCUUAGGUGAUAGGGCUCUCCAGAAAAAAGGGGCCUUGGAGAACAGUUUCUUGCAUGAAUCCAGAUAAACUUACAUGCCUAGGGCUGCUAGAUUUGGCAGAUUUAUUUUAUUUGCCAACCCUACACUUACCCCAGGCUUGCUCAUUGCUACAUGGAGAUCUCUCUCCCACUCAUAGACACCCCACACUACCACCCACCAGCUCCAACUAGCCCAGCUCUACUAGUGUCUAAGGAAAUGGAGAGAAAAGCAGCAUUGGCAUCAUGUGACUCCUUCUCAACUGGUGAAUGUCUUCAUUUCUAAAAUGGCAAAUGUGAACACGUGGCUUCCUUCCUUGCAGUGCUCUCCUGGUCCCCCAGGUCGCAGCCCCCUGCCCAGCUUCAGGGUUAGACUGGCUGAGGCAUUUGCUGCCCAGAUACUCUGGUUCUAACACGCCAGGCAAGACGCUCUACUGAGCACCAGCGGCUGCCAGCCCUUGCCUCUGCCUGGCCCUGCUGCACACUGGCUGCGGCUGAGACCUAGGUCGGGGAAAGGGGAUACAGGCCUCUCAGCUCCUGUUCUGAAAGGUGAGGGUGGGACACGAUCUCAAGGAAUCAUGCAGACUCUUCAAACACACACUUUUACAGUGUGUAACUGUAGGCUCGAGAGAUCAUGUGACUUGCUGGGCUUUUGAAGGGCCCCGGUUGGGCUGGACCCAGGUGUGGAGACUCCUGGCCCAGAGCUCCUCUAGUUAUCCCAAUAACUCUGCUUGGCCCCUGGCGGAGCUGCACGCUUGCCUGGAAGAGGUAUUUCUGGGAGCCUGUCAUCCCUCCCGAGGUUCUGGGCCACCUUGUUUUGAACAAUUCCAGGCGUAGGUGCACUGGGGGCUGGGAGAGGGGCAUUCGGGAUUCCUUCAGUUUUCCUGUCCUUCUCUCGUGUGGGCUUCUCCCACCUGCCGGCUCAGCCUCUUCGACGUCUUCGAGCCGCCGUCUGCGACCCCGCCUGGGUCUGUCACUCCCCUCCGCGAACACCUGGGCGCCUUCCCAGCAGCCUGGGCUGCAGCCUCUACGAAGUACGAGUGACGGGCUCUGUGGGUCUUGGUUACAAUGUCAGUUCGUGCCCCGCCUCUUCCUUCGUCUGCCUCGCUAUUUGGCCACCUCCUUCGAGCAGCCCAGAAACAAUUGGGAGGAGGCACUUGGCGGGGGGAGAGCGCCUGUUCCGGGGAUUUUCCACUCCAAAAUGUUCGGAUAAUCGGGGAGCCGUCGUUGCGUGUUUUGCGAUGUGUUGAUCUCAGUGGUGUGCCUCCGCUUAUGGCCCCUCCCUUGCCUUCUUAUGGUCCCUGUUCAUGCUGUUUUCCUCGCCUCGGGGCAGUGAGAGCUCUCAGAUGAUUAUGAGAAUAUUAUUAAGUCAGUUGCGAAACUGGCGAAGAGCGGAGCUGAGCUAGCGGCGGGGAUGCUGCGCGGACGAUCGCGCGCGGCCUUCCCAGGGUUCGAGUUCUUCCACGCGGCGGUCCGCUCCGCGCAGCCCGGUGGCAAAGCGCGGCCUGAGCUGGGCAAGGGGACCCCGCGCCUGCACACUUCUCUGAUUUUCUUCACAAACCUGGCCAGCCACGGGACAAGCGCGAAACCGGCGUGGCCGCCGCCCCUUCCCACCCUUCCACGGGCCGCAGCUCUGGAGUGAGCGAGACGGUUGCUUGGCCGCGGCUGAUACAUCUCCUGACCCCUCUCUCCACCCAGAUCUUCGCCUGCUCAAGAGCGAUUGGCUCCCUCGGCCCGGGUGGGAGAUGGGAGACUCGAGAUCUUGUGACCUGCAGGGGCAGACCUCAGGCGGCGGGGCUCCCCACCCACAGAAGCCGGACUCCCGGUUAGAGUUCAGGGAGAGGCCCGACCCUCUGCAAGCACCGAAUGACAGGGCCUCCAGCUUGUGCGCCUUCACUCCCGCAGACCACCUGUGAAGCCCAGGCGCCGGCUCAGGUUCGGGCGCCUCUGCAGUACCCGCCACACCUGUGUAUCCUCCGCUUCUCGGAGGAAAUGUCCAUCUUUCUGUCCUUCCAUUACGCCUGGCCACGGUCUCCUCCCAGCUCCCCCUCCCCCAGGGCUACGUGGUGGGAGGCUCGAGCACGGCGUGGCGAUUGGGACCCGGGCCAGCUGCGGAGCCUGUCGGCUCUCUUUCGUGGGAAGAGGGUUCCGGGCUCAGGAAAGGGUGAAAACAGCGCAGCUCCUAAACCCCGGACCUAGGGCGCCGGCUUCGCAGCGACACGCCUGGGAGAUGUGCAGCCAGGGGCAGGGGAAUGAGGGACGUUUCCAAGUGUCUGGAGCGAGCGUGAGCCUCAGAUCUGUGCCCCUACUGUCUGAGUGCAUCCUGGGUUCAGGGCCCAAGGGCCUGUUUCUCCGUCCGCAUGUGUGUGUGUGCCCCUCCUGGUGAUGGUGGCUCUGUGUGUCUGAGUACGUCCCUGAGCCUGAGUGCCUGUCCUGAGUCCCCCCUCCCGAUCGCCCGAUCUGUGCUGGGGACUGCCCUGGAAGGCUCGCCAGCUAGGCCCACCGCUCUACCCAGAGCAUGAAGCGGCGCGACCUGGACGGGGACUCAAACCCACUCCGGGCCGCAGCGUGACCCCGGCAGGGAAGGAGGAUGUGUGACGGUGCGAGCCUGGGUAGAGGUCUGGGACUAUGGCGGGGAGAGGGAGGAGAGCGCACAGGGACCGGGCAGAGGAGAGCUGGGACGACCAGCGGCGGCCUCCUUCCCACCAAUUACACGCCGCCUGCUGGAGCAGCAAUACCUCGGGCACCGGACGCCCUUCCGCAGCCCAGAAUUGGGGCGGGGUAGGAGAAAAGAGGGGGCAUAGCCAUCCAAACCAGGUCCCCCUACGCACCAUACACACACACACACACACACACACACGUGUACACACACACCAUCGCGUUUAGGCUUUCGGAGCCCCAGGCAGGGUAACCGGCGAGGCCGUAAGCCCCGCUUGCGCGAGGAAUAUUGCCGGGUGCCUGAGCCUUCCAGAGCCUCUGCGGAGCCGCGUAAGCCCCACAGAAACAGCAAGAGGACGAGCCAGAGUUCUGCCUUGCCGUGCAGACGCUGGGACAGAUUCCUGGGGAACAGCGACCUCUGGAGGAGCCGCUUAUCCACGCAAAGAAUCAGAACUAGACGACCAGGUCUGGAACCAACGCUCCCUUUCCCCACCGCACCCUUUUGGCAAAGUCAUCCAAAGACUCCUAACCUCCGGACUCCUCUUUGCACAUGCUUGCUCUUUUCCUAACCUGUACCCAUGCUUCAAAUCCUUGCUCAAGUCCCUCCUUCUCCAGAAAGAAGCCUGGAGAGCCCAACCCAUCUUCCCCUCUUCCUUUCUGAGCUCCCCAGAACCCACAGCUUGAACCCUCCACUCGAGCACUCCCACACUGCCCUGCACAGCCGACCUGCUUCCUGCCUCGCCCUUCUCCAAAGAGACCGUUAAUCCAUCCACUCCACCCACCCUUCUACAUUGCAUGCUGGGUGUGCUGUUUUUCUUUCCCUCUGGUAAAUAAAGACUGAAGUCAUUUAUCCCAAAAGUGGACUGUAGGUUUUCAAAGCUAGUCUCUCAGAUGGGAAAAUUGAGACCCAGAGAAGGGCUGACUUGUCCACGGUCACCACACAGCAAAUGGGUAGCAGAGGUGGAACUAGAUCCCCAGUCUCUCAUUUCCCGGGGUCCUCCCCAUUUCACGGGUAUGGGAGCAGGUAAUGUGGGGGAGGACUCAUUUUUGAGGGGCAAGGCCUGGUUGGGGGAUUUUUGGCAUAGGAGAGGGGAAAGGCAGGAGGGAACUAGGGGAGGGGGCACUGCUCUGGAUGGGUCAGUACAGAAGGAAGGGGGGCAGGAAGCAAGGAAGGGGGGGCUGACAAAGGUGCCCUGGAAGGGCAGACCCUUCCUGCCCCAGCCCCAGCCCAGAUCAAGCUACUUUGAAGGGCUCCAAAUUUCAGGCAUUGGCUGAGUGUCUUACAUCAGCAAGUGGGUCAGGUGGAGGCUGGGAAGAGACUCAAUCCAGGCAAAUACCACCCUUCUCUCUGCCCUGGGCAGUGACAGAGGGGCUGAGAAACCUCUGCUGCUAAUACACACCCAGAGGGCGCUACUGAGACUCCAGCUCAACAGGAGGAGGCCUCCUGGCGCUGUAAUUAUAAAGUUAAAGGAGAAGCUGGGAGGGUGGUUUGCAUGUAAUUUGCAUGAGGCCCCAGUGGUACCUGCCUGGCUGCCUAAGGCCUUCUCAGAGAUGCAUUGCUUUCUGGACAUCAUGUGCUUGUCUGCCCUGGCUACUGGAAGCCUGCCCCACACCCCCAUCUUCGCUUGUCCAGUCUCACCUCCAACCCCUGCACUCCACUUGCACCUGAUUUGCUCUUUCUCACCUCUUCACCUUGGCAUGUGGCUCACUCCUCCCUGGGUCACUGCUAAUCUUCCGUCCAUUCCAAAUGUCAAGCUUUAUGAGAUGCUUCCCCCAUGACAACACCCCACAUUGGCCAGGCUGUGAAGGGCUCCUGCCUCUGUGCUCCUAAAGUACUUAGCUCCCUCUGUUGUCAUGACUUGUUUUCCAGUCUUUGGCCCUCUGUAGACUGUGAGCUCCUUGAGAACAGGCAUUAUGUUGUCUUCAUCCUCAUCUUUCCUCCUCUACCUGGUGGGGAUAAUGUACCUAUCUCAAUGAGUUGUUGUGGGAUUAAAUGAGAUAUUGCAUAAAAAGCACUUAGCCCAGUGCCUGAAAUUUUGAAAGAGCUCAGUAAAUGUUUCUAAUUAGCAUCAUCAUUGUUAAUCACUCUACCUCCUGCUGGGCACAAAACCCAACACACAUAGGUACCCCAUUAAUGUUAGAUAUGUGGAUACGUGAACAAAUGACUGAGUGAGUGAGUGGUGUGGCAUAUCUCUCCCUCUUGUCUGGAACUCCCCAGAAAGCUAGUUUACAUCAUCAAUACAAAUAAUUGUUCUCCAAGGACAGACAUCGUUUCUCCCCCAUCAGUUUCUCCCCAUCAGGAGAACAUGUCCCGCAUCAGAGAGGGUUUUCCAUGGCCCCUGACCCCAGCAGUCACUGGAUUUCUCUGUUGAGCUCUUUGCCUCCGUUUCCUUCUUUUAAAAUGGUUACAACCAGCCAAACCCUGCCAAAAUCUUCCAGGGGCUCCCCACUGCUUCUAAGACAAAAUUCAGUUUCCUUAGUCUGGUAAGCUGAACAGGUUUACAGUUUUGGGUGUCCCACCUCUCCAUUGGCUAAGACCUCCCCUCCCAUAUUCCCUGUGGUCUUGAUGGGACUGUCCGAUCUCUGUCCUCCUCACCCUUACCUCCGGGAGCAGACAGGCCACCUGGCUGGAUCAAACAUGGCAGUGAAGUCAAGGGCCUAGUGAUUGGUCUAGGCAGGAGUAAGCCACCUAAACCAAGCCAAUGGCUGCUUUUACAAGAUUUGAUAUAUGGACUCUGGGGCUCCAGGACAUAUGGACUCUGGGACUUCGGGAGUGGUGCCUCUCCUUUCGAAUUGAAAGAUAAACACUAUCCUUCCUGCUAUGUGGAGAGCGCUGUGUGACAUGGAAGCCCAUACACAAAGGGAAACAGCCUAAAGAGAGAAAUAGAGCUUAGUAACAGUGUUAGUCCCCCAAAUCUGCCUGAAGUUAGAACACUUAGACUUUCCAGACAUUCUAAAAAUAUUCCCCCUUUUGCUUAACCUAGGAUUGCAUUGAAUUUCUGCUAGUUUGAGUCGAAUGUCACAAACAGCAGAACCACAAGAGAGAAGGAUCUUGGGUCCCUGAGACCACUGAGGUGCCCUGCCACCCUGAACUGCCAGCACAGACUUUUAUGUGAAAAGGAAAUAAACGUCAAUCUUGGUUAAGCCAUUGUUGCGGAAUUUUCUCAGGGGGUGGGGUUGAGUCUGUUACUCACAACUGAACUUAAACUUAAUUAAUACAGGAAGGGAUGGGAAAUUCCAAUAGGGCUGUUGCUCAGAGAUACUAUUUUGAUAGUAGUGAGCUCCCCAUCAUGGAAAUGCAUGAGCAGAGGCUGGGUAAUCACUGGGCAGGAAUCUUAGAGGCAGCCAGGUGCAGCAGAAAGAGUACAGGUCUUAGGGCUGGGUUCACAUUUUGCUCCGACCACUUAAUAGUUUCAGACAAAUAAUCUCUCCAAGCCUCAGUUUCCUCAUUUGUAAAGUAUCUAGACAGCUGGGUUGGAUAUGGAGACCAAGGAGAUUUCCUAGGCUGCCACCUUGCAGGGACUCCUGAGACCUAGUACUCUAGUUGGAGCCAACUAUGGGUCAGGAGCCCUCAGUGAGUUUCUUGCUCCCCUCUCCAGCCUUGACAUUUUGGAGGAUGCCUGCUCCAACUUGCCAGGAGAAUGCACCUCCUCCUCUGUUCAUGCAACUGGAUGGCGAGGAGCAGUGGGGCCUGAGUGGAGAGGCCUGGGAUCUACCCCCAGUCCUGCCCCUGCCGUCCUGUGUAACCUCAAACAUGCGUCUGCCCUUCCCAGGUCCCCAGUUUCCUCAUCUGACAUGUGAGAAAUGCAGCCCCUGUCCUGGACAGCCUGCCUCCAGAGUCAGGUCUCAUAACCACUGUGCCCUCCCUACGGUUCCAAAUGUGAGCAAUUGCCAUUCACGGCAAUAAUCAUCAUCAUGUUUCUGCAUGGCCUUGCCCUGCCCAGGCUCCUGCUCAUCCUGGCCUAGGUCAGCCCCAAAUGGCAACAUCUGCUACAGGAGCUGACAUCACAGGUCUGGGCCAGCCCCCAGGUUCCCAGGCAGCUGAGGGCCUUGUUUCCAGCCAUGGAGUGUGGCUGCCCCUUAGCCACAUGCGUCCCUCUCACAGGGGGCUCUGCUUGAUCUGCCCUCACCCACUUCCUCCCACAAAGCUGAGGCCACUCAGCUUUGAGGGGUUAGAGGCAAUGAAAUGGGAAAUCUGAGGCCAGAGAGGAGCAGAUUUUAAGACAUGAUUGUAUGAUCAGAAGAAGGGAGUCACAGUUGAGGUCCCAGCUGGGGAGGGCGGGGCAGGGGAGAUGACAGCAUUCAACAGGAAGCCUAGAGGCCCAGAGGUCCAAAGAGCCCGAAGGUCCCGACACCUGCCCCUGAUGCCCAGGAUUUGGGGGCUAGAAGGGAGAAGGAGCAUCACCCUGGACAGACUGACAGCCAGGGCGCAGACCCCACCCAGGGUGGAGGUGCUAAGUGCCCAGACUUCCCAGAUCCAGAGGCCAAAACAUCUGGUAAGGGGCCCUGGAGAGAGACUUUGAUGGGAAGGCCACUGGGGAGGAGGGCAAAGAGGUUUGAGAAGAUGAAAUUCUGACCACGGUCACCAACUGUCCCUUUGAGAAAUAAAAGAGGACAGCUGCCGAAAGAGCCUGUGUGACCACACAGGGAGCUUGGUGUCCUGACAAGGGCUGAGUGGAAAUGCACUUCUAGGAAUUUCUCCUUCAUGUAUACCUACACAGGUGAUGUAUGCCCAAGGUGUCACUGCCGCUGGCUUUGGAAUGACAAAGGGUAUGAAAUAACGUACAUGUCCACGAUUAGGGGGUUGAUUACACAAAUAAUGGCCCAUCCAUAUAAGGGAAUAGUAUGCUGUGUAAACUAGAAUAAAGAAGUUCUAUAUAUAUUGAUCUGGAAAGAGCUCCAAGAUAUGUUGUUGAGUGAAAAAAAUCAAGAUACCUAACAACAUAAACAUUAUGCUUCCAACUGUGGUUUGUUUUUUUUUUUUUUAGGAAGAUUAGCCCUGAGCUAACUACUGCCAAUCUGCCUCUUUUUGCUGAGGAAGACUGGCCCUGAGCUAACAUCCGUGCCCAUCUUCCUAUACUUUAUACGUGGGACGCCUACCACAGCAUGGCUUGCCAAGCAGUGUCAUGUCUGCGCCUGGGAUCCGAACCGGCGAACCCCAGGCCACUGACGCAGAACAUUCGCACUUAACUGCUGCACCACCGGGCCAGCCCUCCACUGUGUUUUUUUAAGGGGGAAAAUAAUGUAUAUUUGUUUUGGUUUGUAUAUGCAACAAAAAUAUGUAGGAGGAUGAAUAAAAACUGAACAACUGAUUAUCUGUUGAGGCAAAUGGGGAACAAAAAUGGAGGUGAGACUUUUCACUGAAUACUUUUUUUAUAUGGAAUCAUUCCAAUAAAUAAGGCUGAGUGUGCAGAACUGAAGAGUAAUGAAGGCCAUUACUACAUGCUGGGCACUUCCUAUGGGCUCCAACAUGAACUGUGGUUGGUGGCUGUAGUUUUGAAGGUGGGACGUGAAAGCAAGACUUACUGGGUGCCUCUGAGCAUUGGCCUGCCACCCGUCAGGCAGGGAGGUAGGUGGGUCUGGUAGCUAGGACCCCAGACUUUCUACCUUGCCCACCUUCUCUUCUGUCCCCAUCCUUCUGUCUUUGCCUCCUCUCUUGGUCCCACCGAAAUUGCUCUGGAAGUAGUCAGACUUUUUCAGUUUGACAAGCUAGACAAGGAUUAGGAUGGAGGAAAGGGUUUUAUAGAAACUAAAAUAGCAGGCUCUCCCCUCCCUUCCUUGAAAACCCCAAACCAGAGCUCACCUCCUCCAGGAAGCCUUCCUUGUGAGGCCCACCAAGCCCCAACCCCUCCACAUUGCAGGGAGAUGGUCUGAUGCCCAAGGUGGGGCCUGCGUCCUCCUCAAGCCAGGCCUAGGCCUCUUGUCUCUAACUCUCCUCCACCCCUUAAACCUCAACUCCAGCCUCCAGACAAGGGGUAUCUCAGGCCAAAGCCUGGCAUGCCCGCCCUGGCCAGGCUGCCCAGGGAGGGAUACAGUGGACAGAGAAGGGGCAGGGCCUGUCCUGGGAAGCCCACAGCCAGGCAGGGGAGAAUAUCCUCCCCCAGCAUCACUACGGCUGUAGCAGUUACAAAGGCCGUCCCACCCAGGCAGAGAGAGCAGGGCACAUUCUCGCUAGUUCAGAGGAGCCUGAGGCUGGGGUCGGGGCAGAGGCUUGAACUGGUGAGUGGCCACAGUGACCUGAGAGCUCCCUGAUCUUGUCAGCACUCUGCACUAUAUUGUCACCCACCAAUAGUUGACUCCUUUGCGCAAGGCCAUCAUCUGAUUCCUCUGAGUCCUCGCUGAGGUGGGGCGCACAGUCACAGAGCCUGGAGAGAGCUGUAAGUUGCUGUGACAGAGGAAGAAGGAAGGCCUUGCCUGAGUGUUAGAGUAGACCUCAGGUUUCCUGACACCCACCCAGCACACUUUCCGCUAUUUCCUUCUUACGGAGUGGAUCAAUUCUCUGCAGCUAGAACCACCUACCACACUCCCAUUCCAAGCCCCUCUAAGUGGGCCACUACCAAGGGCUGCGAAGAAGAAUGGAGGAGGAUGGAAGAUCUGGGAGGGCUUCCCAGGGGAGGUGGGAACUGCAGCCAGCUUUCCUCUUCCACACCAAACAAUUGGGUUCCCCCUGGAGCAAGUGCCUCUCUGCCACCAGAAGCCACCCCAGCCGCAAACAGCGUCCAAAUGGAUCCUGGCUUCAUUCCACUGCUUUCCUGCUCAAAUCAGAGGCAGAGAAUGACUUUGGAGUCAGGCGGACCUAGAGUCAAGUUCUGAGUGGGUCACUUUGCAGCUUGACCUGGGAUCUUCCGAAGAAGGACCUCACCUGGGCUUAAAACCACGCCAGUCACUACAGCAGAGGGUUCUCCACGUUGUGCAUUUGUCCUUCUGCCUUCCCAGAUGUGCAAAAUUUUCCCCCAAAUUUACCUCGACUGAAACAAAGAAACAAAGCAAGAGAAAGGAAGAUAUGGAAGCAAAGGAUCCAAGACAGGAGAGAGAUGGAGGGAAUUCCAAAAGAAAGAGUGAGUGAAAAUUUCAGGUCCACAUCUGUGCAGCAGACACGGAGAGCAAUCAGCCCAGACCGGAGCUGGAGGACAGCGGGCUCUGGGAGAGAUGCCCCCGGGAAAGGAAAAACACAGCAACCAAAAGCAAUGACAGAUUUCCUGCAUCUACCAAAGUGUCACAAUUCUUGGGGCACUCUACCACACAUAGCUUUCCAGACAAUGGACUCUGUAAGGGCAAGAACAGUCUCAGAAGUGACAUUUCUAGAAUUUCCAUACAGACAUUUCCCACCUCAUCCUGACCUCACUGUUCCAAGAUCCCAGGGACAGAGACCUGCAGGGUGGUGACAAGAAUGGAAUUCAGAGCUCAAGAAGCACUUCCUGGCUUCAGCGGAGGGAGAGGGGUCAUCCCCUUCCCUGGAAAUUUCUUGGAUUAGGAAGGAAUUUAUCAAGAGGUACUCUGAGGCGGGAGGAGGAGCUGUAACACCAUUUGGGAGCAGAGGAACAUUUGUGAUCUUUGUAGAGACUUACUCCUUCAGGAACUGAGGGCUGGAUCUUCUGCCCCCUGCUGGGCCCCAGGGAGGGGCAAUUUCCUCAUAGGAUGAAUGGGCAAACCGCCUUCACCUCCACCUCUUUCACCUCCGUGGCCUCUUUUGCAGGUCACUGUGAGGUCCACAAGUGAGAAUGGAUAAGAAAGUGCCAAAUACUGUUAAGCCAGUCCUUAUUCAUUUUCCAGAUGGUGGGGCAGCCUACGGACUCCCCUUUCAGUCAGGAGCCCCUGGUGCUGCUUUUCUCAGAAAUCUCGAAGAACUGUCCUCGGGGCCUGGCAGAGUGCUGCCAGGUGUGUCUGUGUGGAAGGAGAGCUCUCUCCCGGGAAGACACCGAGGGCAGACAGACCAGGAAGAGAGACAACCUCCAGCCAUCCCUCUCAGAGAGUGACUUCAAUAUCGACUUCGUCACACAACCAGGAACUGGCCAUCAUCCUCUAUUCCUUUCUCUCCCUCUCCAGCCACCUCCAGUCACCGAGACCGGCAAAAGUCCCGCUGGUGCCUCUGGCCUGACCGCACCCAGAGAGACUUCAGCACAUGCUCUGCGUUUGCCUCCCUCUGUGCUCAGUUCCUCCACGGACCCUAGGCCAGGCUAUAGAGUGGCACGGCUCAGCGAGCAUUUGUUGAGUGACUGACCAACUGCCUUGCUGAAUGAAUGAAUGAACGAUAAAUGGAUGAACAAACAAAUGACCACACAUGUCUGGAAAGGCAAAAGAACCCUGUGCCUGAGUUCCAGCUGGGAAUCUGCCUCCUGCCCUCACUGCCUCUCUGCUCAGCUCUGCAGCCGGGGGCCCAGACGCCCCCCACGGUUCUUGCCUCAGCAGGGUCCAGACUCCGUUCAGGCUCAGACUGAGACAGUGUUGGCUCAGCCCUGAGGGUGUAAUUCCAGCCGCUCCUAACCACACACCCGGCAUCUGAAGUAUGUUCCGUGUCAUUUCGGGCUGUCAGCGUUCUGCGUUCUGCCAUCUGCCUCACCCCUGAACCCUGGGCAAUCUCAGGGCUCCCAGGCUCCCCGCUUCUCAUUUCCAGGGAAGCUGAGGGGGAGGUGCCGUCAGCCAGGCUGGCUGGGCCAAGGGAGCCGGGCUGAAGAAGAGGGAGUUUGAACCCACUACUCAUUUGCUGUGUGAUCCUGAGCAAGUUGCACAACUCCUGUGGCCCAGAUUAGACACAUAAGCCCCUCGUGCCUGAAGACCUCUGAGAUGAUCUAGCCCAGUGAGUUCCAGCCUAUGGGCCCCUCAGGCAGGGCCCCUGGAAUCCGCAUGGCCCCCAGGGCUGUCUGUAAAGAGGAUGGCCAAUGUCUCACACACAAGUAUGAAUGUGUUUCAAACGGAUGUCGAUGCUGAGUGACUGAUAAAUACCCACAUUUAAAAGCUUUGCAGUUGUUUUUAUUUUUAAUCCAUCAAUGGAUACUAAAAGCAGAACUACUAUCAUAUGGAGCAGCUAAGAGGUAUUGUUAAUCCCCAUUCUUAAACUGCUGCCUCAGUCUCAUAUGCCUUCUUUACAGCUUUGGGUAUUGAGGUCCAGAAAGGGGAGGGACUUGCCUAAAGUCCCAUAGCAAGUCAGUGCAAAGGCCAAAAUGGAGCCCAGGAUUCUGUUCAUUCAACAGUAUUUAUGAAGUACCUGCCUGUGGCGGACUCUAUCUGGGCGGCAGACAGCCAGUGAGGAAGACCAACGGCCCUACUCAGGGGCUGGCAUUCAUCUGGGAGCGGGGUAGGCGUUAUGGGGGGAGUGGAGACACGGAACAAAGACUUUACCCUAACUUCGAAAAGAAGCCAUUGAAGGACUGGAACCAGGAAGCGAUGUGAUAAGACUCCUGUUGUACAACAGCCACUGCACUUGCAGUGUGGACGAUGGGCUCGAAGGUUUCUAUCAUUUAGGAUGUUUUUGGCUCCAAGUAACAGAAAACCUCAACUUAAAGCAAUUUAUGUUGUCGGGAAAUACAUUUUCUCCCUAACAAGAAGGUCAGAGGCAGGAUGUAGUUAGGGCUCUGGCUCCCCUUUUCUGUGAGUCUCUUGGCUCUGCUGUCCGUCAUGGGCCGGCCCCAUCUUAAGGCUGUGGCGAGAUAAUUACAGCACCCGAAACUACACAGAGUUCCAAGUCUC